GUUCUCGCUUCGGCAGCACAUACACUAAAACUGGAACGAUACAGAGAAGAUUAGCAUGGCCCCCUGCACAAGGAUGACAUGCAAAUUCGUGAAGCAUUCCAUAUUUUA
Molecule: small nuclear RNA, 108 nt
Organism: Myotis myotis
Lineage: Eukaryota; Metazoa; Chordata; Mammalia; Chiroptera; Vespertilionidae
Source: RefSeq, a predicted model, not a curated record